RNAcentral lists this ribosomal RNA (468 nucleotides) under uncultured bacterium. Its description in RNAcentral is "partial 16S ribosomal RNA". It matches the Rfam family "Bacterial small subunit ribosomal RNA", at positions 28 to 507 of the family's 1533-position model. The record is from RNAcentral.
GACGAACGCUGGCGGCGUGCUUAACACAUGCAAGUCGAACGGAAAGGCCCUGCUUUUGUGGGGUGCUCGAGUGGCGAACGGGUGAGUAACACGUGAGUAACCUGCCCUUGACUUUGGGAUAACUUCAGGAAACUGGGGCUAAUACCGGAUAGGAGCUCCUGCUGCAUGGUGGGGGUUGGAAAGUUUCGGCGGUUGUGGAUGGACUCGCAGCUUAUCAGCUUGUUGGUGAGGUAGUGGCGUACCAAGGCUUUGACGGAUAGCCGGCCUGAGAGGGUGACCGGCCUCAUUGGGACUAAGGUACGGCGCAGACUGCUACGGGAGGCAGCAGUGGGAAAUAUUGCGCAGUGGGCGGAAGCCUGAUGCGGCAACGCCGCGUGCGGGAUGACGGCCUUCGAGUUGUAAACCGCUUUCGCCUGUGACGAGGCGUGAGUGACGGUAAUGGGUAAGGAAGCACCGGCUAACUACGUG